This 435-nucleotide long non-coding RNA is filed under the name Mustela putorius furo (domestic ferret). RNAcentral's name for it is "lncRNA (ENSMPUG00000026443.1)". Lineage: Eukaryota; Metazoa; Chordata; Mammalia; Carnivora; Mustelidae. The record is from RNAcentral.
AGAAAAUAGUGUUGAACAGAUGAUAGGCACUCUAUAAUAAAUGGUGGAAAAUGGUGCCAUUAUUGAUGAUGAUUUACUUCAGCUAAAAGAUCCAUAAUUAUUACAGAGAACCGAAGAGUAGCCAAGGGUUACUGACUGAAAAUACAUAAACUUCAACAAGUCAAAUGAAUUCAACUACUUAGGCACAAAGGCCACUAGAAGCAUCUUUCUUGAGAAGGAAUUAAAGAAAGAAGAAAACAACUUUUUACUAAAGAUCUGUGAACAGACAUUUCCCAGCAGGACAAUCACAUCAUCUACUCACUUGUAUGUGAAACACUGAGGGCUGACCUGGGGCCAGAAGUCAACUCUGUGCGUGAUGUAGUACUACGAGUAAUCUCUGGGGUGUCCUGGGAUUAGUCUGAAGAUUGCCAUCAUCCAGCUAUUUCAUAAAGUCUG